GAUGAACGCUGGCGGCGUGCCUAAUACAUGCAAGUCGAGCGAACAGACGAGGAGCUUGCUCCUCUGACGUUAGCGGCGGACGGGUGAGUAACACGUGGAUAACCUACCUAUAAGACUGGGAUAACUUCGGGAAACCGGAGCUAAUACUGGAUAAUAUAUUGAACCGCAUGGUUCAAUAGUGAAAGACGGUUUUGCUGUCACUUAUAGAUGGAUCCGCGCCGCAUUAGCUAGUUGGUAAGGUAACGGCUUACCAAGGCAACGAUGCGUAGCCGACCUGAGAGGGUGAUCGGCCACACUGGAACUGAGACACGGUCCAGACUCCUACGGGAGGCAGCAGUAGGGAAUCUUCCGCAAUGGGCGAAAGCCUGACGGAGCAACGCCGCGUGAGUGAUGAAGGUCUUCGGAUCGUAAACCUCUGUUAUUAGGGAAGAACAAAUGUGUAAGUAACUAUGCACGUCUUGACGGUACCUAAUCAGAAAGCCACGGCUAACUACGUG
Molecule: ribosomal RNA, 497 nt
Filed under: uncultured bacterium
Lineage: Bacteria
Description: partial 16S ribosomal RNA
Rfam family: Bacterial small subunit ribosomal RNA
Source: RNAcentral